GGUGUGUGUCUGUGUGUCAGUUCAUCACUCUUUCAUGUGACACUGACAUGGUGCUGCUCAUCCCCCUCAUCUUUACACUCUUUCUGGAGGUAAAAUCUCAAGGAUUCUCCGAUCAGUUUUGGCUGACAGCAUCUCCAGCAUCAGUUCAGAAAGACUCAAGCGCAGUGCAGCUGACACAUGAUGAACGUGACACUCAGUCUGAUUUGAAUGAGCGGCCUGACAUUAAAAUCAUCCAUGAUUCUGAAAAGAGUGAAUUUAGAAUUCUUUGUGACAUACCAGGAUCAGAUGAUGGUGGUUAUAAUUGUUUUCUUUCUCUUGGAGAUGAAUAUCCACAAUUUAAAAAGAUACAAUCUCAUGAACUGUCUGGAAAAACACAGUGUCGUUUUACAGUCUUGGAAUAUGAAUUUUCAAAUAAUCUGAAGUCAGUGGAGAAUAAAGUAGUGAGCUGCAGUUAUUCUCCAAAAAAUGCAUCAUCCAAACGAUUAUAUAGUGAGAAGUACAACCUAACAGGUUUGUAAUGUUGGUGUUAUCUUCACAUUUUCAGUUUGUAUAAUGUUUUUAAUGGAGAUUAUUCCUCUAUAGCUUUUUUUCCUGUGAAAAUUCAGUCACCACCAACAACAAAGGGAUCAUUAUCAACUCUGGUUACAGAAUCCAGUACUUGUUAUGAGACCACAAUAAACCCUACAACUGUUCUCAAAGUCGCAGCUGCUGGUGAAAAUGCUGUCCAUAGAACACCAAGAACAAAAACAUUGCUCAUCCUGACACUGGCAGCCACAAGCGGAGGGAUUUUCCUGACCGGACUCAUGGGCAUCUGUCUGUGCUACAUCAGACUGAAACCAAGGAAGAAGAGCCCUGUGAAUACUUCUGUAGCAGCCAUUCCCCAGACCUCAGAUGAUAUUGACGCCAAUGAGGAACGUUCUGAAGAAAAUGGGAUGAAACUGUACCACGUGUACUGCACCAUCCCUGAUGUCGCUGCAGACUCUCAUGUGAUAUACAGUCUGGCACAAAUGCCAAACCAUCCUCUGCCAGUUUAAGAGUUUAUCAUUAUAUUAUAAUAAUUAAACUAAUUGACAUUAAAAGAGAAUGUGGAAGUUUCACUUUCAAUCAAACUAUUUGAUUUUUCUAAUAAUCAAAAACAAAAAGCAAUGCCAGGAAAAAGUGAUGUCAGAUAUUAUUGGUCAAAUGGCAUGCACAUUUUAACUUGAUCACUGCUGUGCAAUAAAAAAA
Long non-coding RNA from Cyprinus carpio carpio, 1227 nucleotides. NCBI's taxonomy places the organism in Eukaryota, Metazoa, Chordata, Actinopteri, Cypriniformes, Cyprinidae. The record is from Ensembl.